Onychostoma macrolepis is the source of this 2855-nucleotide long non-coding RNA. RefSeq lists it as uncharacterized. The record is from RefSeq and is a predicted model, not a curated record. The transcript has 4 exons. Lineage: Eukaryota; Metazoa; Chordata; Actinopteri; Cypriniformes; Cyprinidae.
AUACUUUUCAAUCCCAGAAGCCCACGGGAGAUCAAUACGUCAUCAUCGAACGUGAUGGAGAACAGCGACGCGGGUGUUUACAAAUUAUUGUAGAUAAACUGAGGAACAUUUGUGUUGAAUAAAAAAUGAGACACAUGCGUGUUUAUCCGGUGAAGAGUGACUGAUGGAGGAAUGCUGCCAUCAAAGGCUUUGAGGACCCCAAUCCCCCUGCAGCAGCUCGGAGUAAAGACACCGUGGAGACGACUGCGGAGAUCAAACCGGCAACCUUCUGCUGACCAGUUCAUUACACCACAAAAGUAAUGAAGCUAUAUCAAAAAUUUGCAUGUAAUUGUAAACAUAUGAAAUUUAAAUUUGUCAAGAAAUGGAAUGCUGACAACAUGAUAUGUAAAAUGUUUUGCUCUGUGUAAAUGUGUUACAGGUAGUUGUUCUCAUAGAGAGCAGGCACACAGAUGUUUGGAGCACACACAGCAGCAGCCAGAUUGUCCCGCACGCGUUCCUCUGCUCUUGUUCAAGAUUGUGUGGUUCAGGGAGCCUCAUCCUCUCUGUACUCUCAGACAAUGACAGUCUCGAUGUCCCUUUCUCAUCCAUGAUCAGAUUCAGUGUGACUGCAGCAGUGAGGGACGUGAUGGACGGCAGAGACAGGUGAAGGUGGACGCGGUGGUCAGCUGCUUCAUCAGAAUAAAGCUGCAGAACUGGACCAGCUGUGUUGAGAUGGCAGUAGGAUGUGGGCUCACCGUCUGUAAAUACACGAUUGUUAAAACAAUAUGUUUGUAUAAAGCUUUGUUUCAAGUGUUGUUGACUUGUAUUUAUUUAUUGUCAUGGUUACUUUUAUUUACAUUUUACUAAUUUAUUCAUGUUUCCUGUUGUUGUCAGUAAAUAAAAUAUAAUUGUUUCAUUAACACAUGCAUUAAUUCAUUACUUUUAUGAAAAUUGAGAUGUAUUCACUUUGGCUGCAUUUGUCUAGUGUGUGUAGUCAUGCAUAGCUAUGGCAUAUGAAAAAGCAAAUUACAUUUUGCUUGUUUUACUAAAAAAAAAAAAAUUAUUGGUCAGCAUUUAUCAUUAUUAUUGUUCAUAAGUGUUGGGCUACCACUGCUUUCUGAGGUAAUCUUAAUUUCUAAGUAGUAAUACUCACAUUUUUCGAUUGUAAAAUCAACAGUCUUCUCCAGAGAUGAGAUCUUCUGAGCUGAUCGACGUCUCGUUUGUGCAGAUAUUACAAACAUUGCAAACAUGGAGGAAAACGUACUAGGUAGGGUCGUGGAUUUAUAGAUGCUAUGAGGUGUUUGUGCGCCUGUUGCUCUUAUUUUCCUUUUAUUAUUAUUACUGAAGAACAUACAAGCUCAGGGAAAUAUGGUAGUAUCUUUAACAAUGAACAAUCAUAAUGACAAAAAAAAAAAAAGAAAACAUAACUAUAAUGGGUUUGCGUAUAUCGUAGUAUAAUAUUAUACACAGGGGAAAAAAAAGAUUGAAUAUCUUUGAAUAAUCAUAAAAUUCAUAUCAUAUAAUGCAUUAAAAUUGCAUUUGUUUUUGUUAUUUAUAAGCCUCAGGGAUGAAACGAGAGCGAUAUUCAACCAAAAAAAGACAAAGACAAAAAGAACAAUUUUGCACAUGAAAUUAAGAAAUUAAUAACAUAUUCAAGAGAUAACGAUUUAUAAUUUAUUUUUAAUAAAAAUAUCUUUAAGGAUUAAACUGUGGGUUAGUCUAUAUUAGUAGUUAAAAAUAUAAAAACUUCAAUCAAUCCCAAAUUUAUUGGUUAUAGCCUACUACAAUCAUAAGGGCAGCUGUUUCAUCAACAUCAAAAUUUACAGAUAGAUGAAUUAAACCUGUCGCUCAUAUCUUUUAAGUUUGUGUUUGCGUUUGUUAUAACGUCAUAAAUCACGUGAUAACGUAAACAUGGCGGACCGCAUUCAUACUCAACGAGAUUUGGCUGUAGAGUACGUACUCUUUUAGCGCUCGUUAAGUAAGUACUUCUUGAAAUUAAGUACCUACUCAUUGAGUAGGCGGUUUCGGAUGCAGCCUAUGUGAACUAUGCAAUAAGUCGUGGCCUAAUGGUUAGAGAGUCGGACUCGUAAUCCAAAGGUUGCGAGUUCGAGUCUCGGGCCGGCAGGGAUUGUAGGUGGGGGGGAGUGACUGUCCAGCGCUCUCUUCACCUCAAUACCACGACUGAGGUGCCCUUGAGCAAGGCACCGAACCCCCAACUCCCCGGAGCAGUGGGCAGCAUAAAUGGCUCCGCGUGUGUGUGUUCACUGCUGUGUGUGUGCACGUUGGAUGGGUUAAAUGCAGAGCACAAAUUCCGAGUAUGAGUCACCAUACUUUAAAAAGUGCUCCAAGGUCAGCGUCAACACGUCUAUGAUCCCACGCAUGUUUUGAUCCAAAACAAAACCCAGUCUCAAAAUGAACCUCAAUCAUCAGGCCUGGUCAUCCACUGCGGUCUAAAUGAUUAUAAUUAUGUUUUUGAUGCCGCAGAAAAUCACAUAAAAUCAUGCUCAUUCAAAUAUACCAACACAAUUACGUUAGCCGCAUUGGAGCUUAAUUAAACCACUUCAACCGUUUAAUGUCAAAACACAAGCUAAGGAAAACAUUUGGAAGAUAAGACUGGAGAUUUGCUGCACUUCAUCCUGAUACAUUCAGUUAUUAUAUUUACGUUAGCAGCCUGUCGUAGUUUAGGAGAGAUUACUUGUUGACAUGACUAGCUGUUACGUUAGCAACGCCAAACUAAAGGAUAAAAACCAUAACAACUUUGCGUUUUUUGACUUACAUAAACUGUCUCAGAUCUCUACUGGUCUAGCCUAGGUGCAAACAGACAAUACGUUUAAAAUAAAAUAAAAAAUAAGCCAAAAACACGGAUAUGAGAGAGU